UACGGAGGAUGCGAGCGUUAUCCGGAUUUAUUGGGUUUAAAGGGUGCGUAGGCGGGCUUUUAAGUCAGCGGUAAAAAUUCGGGGCCCAACCCCGUCCGGCCGUUGAAACUGGGGGUCUUGAGUGGGCGAGAAGAAGGCGGAAUGCGUGGUGUAGCGGUGAGAUGCAUAGAUAUCACGCAGAACUCCGAUUGCGAAGGCAGCGUACCGGCAUCCAACUGACGCUGAGGCACGAAAGCGUGGGGAUCAAACAGG
RNAcentral lists this ribosomal RNA (252 nucleotides) under uncultured bacterium. Its description in RNAcentral is "partial 16S ribosomal RNA". It matches the Rfam family "Bacterial small subunit ribosomal RNA", at positions 524 to 776 of the family's 1533-position model. The record is from RNAcentral.